CCGAGUUUACAACUCCCAAACCCAUGUGAACAUACCUAUUGUUGCUUCGGCGGGAUGCCCCCGGCGCCUCUGCGUGCCCGGGAGUCAGGCCCCCGCCGGAGGACCCAAACUCUUGUUUUUAUAUAGAACUUCUGAGUGGAUUAUUAUAAAUAAUUA
RNAcentral lists this unclassified non-coding RNA (156 nucleotides) under uncultured Verticillium. RNAcentral describes it as "sequence contains ITS1". The record is from RNAcentral. Lineage: Eukaryota; Fungi; Ascomycota; Sordariomycetes; Hypocreales.